Non-coding RNA from Caenorhabditis elegans, 21 nucleotides. Lineage: Eukaryota; Metazoa; Nematoda; Chromadorea; Rhabditida; Rhabditidae. The record is from Ensembl.
UAUUUUCGACGAGAUCAAAAG